RNAcentral lists this ribosomal RNA (329 nucleotides) under uncultured eukaryote. RNAcentral's name for it is "partial 18S ribosomal RNA". It matches the Rfam family "Eukaryotic small subunit ribosomal RNA", at positions 1470 to 1796 of the family's 1831-position model. The record is from RNAcentral.
CCCUUAGAUGUUCUGGGCCGCACGCGCGCUACACUGAUGCAUUCAACGAGUCUAAAACCUGCUCUGAUAGGGGUGGGUAAUCUUUUGAAUGUGCAUCGUGAUUGGGAUAGAUGAUUGCAAUUUUUCAUCUUCAACGAGGAAUGCCUAGUAAACGCAAGUCAUCAGCAUGCAUUGAUUACGUCCCUGCCCUUUGUACACACCGCCCGUCGCUCCUACCGAUUGAAUGAUCCGAUGAAUAUCAUGGAUUGAGGAUGCAAGCAGGUUCGCCUGUCUUCAUCUUCGAGAAGUGAAGUAAAUCUUAUCAUUUAGAGGAAGGAGAAGUCGUAACA